This 253-nucleotide ribosomal RNA is filed under the name uncultured bacterium. RNAcentral's name for it is "partial 16S ribosomal RNA". It matches the Rfam family "Bacterial small subunit ribosomal RNA", at positions 524 to 776 of the family's 1533-position model. The record is from RNAcentral.
UACGUAGGGGCCUAGCGUUGUCCGGAUUUAUUGGGCGUAAAGAGCGUGUAGGCGGCUAGAUAGGUCCGUUGUGAAAACUCGAGGCUCAACCUCGAGACGCCGGUGGAAACCAUCUAGCUAGAGUCCGGAAGAGGAGAGUGGAAUUCCUGGUGUAGCGGUGAAAUGCGCAGAUAUCAGGAAGAACACCCGUGGCGAAGGCGGCUCUCUGGGACGUGACUGACGCUGAGACGCGAAAGCGUGGGGAGCGAACAGG